GAUGAACGCUGGCGGCGUGCCUAAUACAUGCAAGUCGAGCGAACGGACGAGAAGCUUGCUUCUCUGAUGUUAGCGGCGGACGGGUGAGUAACACGUGGAUAACCUACCUAUAAGACUGGGAUAACUUCGGGAAACCGGAGCUAAUACCGGAUGAUAUUUUGAACCGCAUGGUUCAAAAGUGAAAGACGGUCUUGCUGUCACUUAUAGAUGGAUCCGCGCUGCAUUAGCUAGUUGGUAAGGUAACGGCUUACCAAGGCAACGAUGCAUAGCCGACCUGAGAGGGUGAUCGGCCACACUGGAACUGAGACACGGUCCAGACUCCUACGGGAGGCAGCAGUAGGGAAUCUUCCGAAAUGGGCGAAAGCCUGACGGAGCAACGCCGCGUGAGUGAUGAAGGUCUUCGGAUCGUAAAACUCUGUUAUUAGGGAAGAACAUAUGUGUAAGUAACUGUGCACAUCUGGACGGUACCUAAUCAGAAAGCCACGGCUAACUACGU
This 496-nucleotide ribosomal RNA is filed under the name uncultured bacterium. Its description in RNAcentral is "partial 16S ribosomal RNA". It matches the Rfam family "Bacterial small subunit ribosomal RNA", at positions 28 to 506 of the family's 1533-position model. The record is from RNAcentral.